Molecule: microRNA precursor, 88 nt
Filed under: Olea europaea subsp. europaea
Lineage: Eukaryota; Viridiplantae; Streptophyta; Magnoliopsida; Lamiales; Oleaceae
Source: RNAcentral
UUUCUCUCUUUCUUUUCUUCUAACCUUCAAGUCCACACUCUAAAUAUAGAGUGUGGACUUGAAGGUUAGGAGAAAAGAAAGAGAGAAA